Molecule: non-coding RNA, 98 nt
Filed under: human gut metagenome
Description: SAM riboswitch (S box leader)
Rfam family: SAM riboswitch aptamer (S box leader)
About the family: The SAM riboswitch is found upstream of a number of genes which code for proteins involved in methionine or cysteine biosynthesis in Gram-positive bacteria. The SAM riboswitch acts at the level of transcription termination control. The predicted structure consists of a complex stem-loop region followed by a single stem loop terminator region.
Source: RNAcentral
UCUUAUCAAGAGUGGUGGAGGGACAGGCCCUGUGAAACCCGGCAACCAGCAUUGCAUGGUGCCAAUUCCUGCAGAAUGAAUAAUUCUGAAAGAUGAGG